Molecule: long non-coding RNA, 41629 nt
Filed under: Populus trichocarpa (black cottonwood)
Lineage: Eukaryota; Viridiplantae; Streptophyta; Magnoliopsida; Malpighiales; Salicaceae
Description: long non-coding RNA (PTRI_LNC001651)
Source: RNAcentral
GUCUGCGAACAAAAUUUAAAUGCAUAUGUAGCUUACCAGUUAUGGGCUAGUAAAUGAAGACAACAGCAGAAGAGGAAUUAGCGUAAAAUCAGAAGAGAAGAAAGGUUCCCUAGCUUGAACUCAAAUUUCAGGUUACGCAGCCGAAGGGCUACCCUGGAAUUAUAACCACGGAUCUGGUACAUGUACUGACUAUACCAUGAUCUAGCAUAAACUACCAGGAUAUUUUACCAUUCAAUCAGAAAGUUUUAGUCCAUAAGAACUCAGUUCAUGUAGCAAUCUAUUUAUUUCCAUGGAUGACGGCUACGAUGAUGCAGCACAUGAACUACUAGGAUAUUUAUCUAAUGCCCAAAUGAAAUAAAAGAAAAUCAUAAUGAAGUGUCAUUUCAAUUCCAAUUCUUGUUCUUACCUUUUAAUGGAAACAGUCCUCUUUCUUUGAGCUCUUUAUAUUGCUUAAGCCCCAUGAAAGUGCAAGCAGAGAUAGAAAAGAACAAGGCAACAGGAAUUCCAUGCCUCUCAGCAGCAGUGAUGGCAGCUGGCACAAAUCCAUCAGAUACAAUGCAAGUCACUUGAGGAACAGCAGCAGAUGCUGUAUCAUUGAGCUUGGCAAGCAAUUCAUUAAAUGGAGCUAGCAAGUUCUUCUUGCAAGCCUCCAAAAUUGCUUGUGUAUCUUGGGUAGCAUUCUCAUCUGAAGGAGGGAGGCCAUCUGGGAUAGAUUCGAACCGAAAGUCGGGCAAGCCAUUCAGGGAAUAAGGACCUCUAGAUUUAAGCAUGCGUCUGUGGUUGAACUCUGUGUUCACAAAGGUUAUGCGAAAACCUCGGUAAUGCAGUAGUUUUGCUAGUUUAAGCAUUGCCUUUACAUGGCUUUGAGCUGGACAGGGAAUACAGAUUACAUGAGGCUUGUCAGCUAAGAUUUUGCGAAACAUGUCUCUAGCUCUUUCCUUCUUUCUCUAACUCUUUCUUUAGAGUAAUUGUUUUGCCACUAUAUAUCGUCUGUCAAAGUGAAGCUCACACUUUACAAUAUGGAUACAUUUUCUUAUCAACAAGACUAUAUAUAAAAUAGCAGCCAAGUAGAGGUACAAAAUCUUGAUAAGAUUCAUCUAAUUUAGAGAAUAUUAAUUUAUCUACAUUCAUAUAAUUGCUAUAUUCUGUAUCUAAAUACCAUAAAAGUUUUGUGAUUUUUCUUAUUGCAUGACAAGCCAUCAAUAAAGAUAUUUCAUCUUUUUUCUCCACAAAAUUAGUUUUUCUACAUCAUUCUUUAAAUUUGUGAUGUCCCAUAAAUGAUAGUUAAGUUAUUCAACCUUUGACUUGUUAGGCGAGAUUUUUCAUGAAAAGAAGCGUGGCGUGUAGUGAUUGUAAGGGAUUCAGUCAGCUGGAACCCAAAUUCAUUGAACCAUUUGGACGUAAAUAUGAUGUUUUGUCCUUCGGGAAAAAUAAGACUAAGCAAUCAUAAGUUCAAUAUAUACAUAUACAGCACACACAAUGAAAGGCAUUGUGUUUUUGUUAUUUAUUUUAUUUUACUCAUAUUUUAAACUUUAAUUCUUUGUCUCGGUUCGAACUUAAUUAUAUAGAAUAAAAGUUUGAUGAUGAAAUUAAAAACUUAUAAAAAAAUACACUGUUGAAAUCCAAGGUAUAAGAGGAUGAGCAGUAAUGAACAUCGAAAAUUGCUAAAGGAAAACCUUGGCUCUUUUAGUUUUUACUAUAAUAAAAUAAAAUUAUAAUAAUUUCUCAAUCUGCAGCCAUUUAAAGGGAGUGAAUCUAAAAGUAAAUUGAUGAAAAUAUUGUCUGUCGAGCAAAGAGCAGCUACACAGCUAGUUCUUGAUAUAAAUUAAAACUACGUUUUUUUUUUUUUAUAAAUUUAAUAAAACAUUGACUAGAUUGCUUAGGUCGCAAAUUCUCAUCAAAUCACUCAAGUUUCAUCGAUCAACUUCUUCAACCAUUCAAAACCAAACUAAGCUAGGGCUGAACUCCAAGUUAACGGAUCAUAGAAUGAAACCACUGAGUUAAGAUUUUAUAACUAUGCUGUCUAUUAUAAAAGAAACGAAGGAGGACAGAUCAAUUUCGGGCGGGUUUCAGAAAGCGGUGCAAACCGUGCUUCUUUGAUGUGGGUUUCGUGUAGUUCUUCCCUGAUGAGUUAACCACUUUCUCUACCCCGCUUAUUCCCUUUCAACAUACCCCGAAUCUAGCCUAAAAUCCGAUCUUUCUUCUCUUGUGAUUUUUUCUACUUUCUUGACUUUAUAAAAAUGUAUUCUCUCAAAGUUUUUUUUUAUUAUUUUUUUCAAGAAUCAGGGCUGUCAAUUAUUAACUUUGCAAGAGGCUGUGUCAAAUAUUAAUUUAAUUUUUUUUUAAAUUAAAAACAAGACACGGCACUGGGUGGUUGAACGUAUAUGUCAAGAUUGUCAAAUUCAUGAAUGAGAUGCGACGGAACACUGUUCUUCCAGUCUUUUAUGAUGUGAAACAAAGAAAGACAGAUGAUCGAACGGAGUUUAUAUAAUUGUAGUGGUUAAGAAUGUAGAAAUUGUCAUUUCGUCUUGGAAAAGAAUAUUAAAAAUAAAAUAAUUAAAAAAAUAAAAAAAUAAAAAUAAAAAUUUAAAUUAACCUAAAUUAACAUGUCAAACCCACAAUAUAAAUAAUAAUAUUAAAAUAACCUUAUAGAAAGUAAAUAAAAAAAUAUCACAAAAUUUAAUUUUCAAUCAAUCUAAUAUUAAAUAGUAAAAUUAAAAAAAUAUAUUAAAAAAUAAUAUAAAAAUAACCUGAGCAAAUCUAAGUUAAAGUAAAUUGUAAAAGUAAUAUAAGUUAACUUGUUAAACUUGCAAUCCAAAUUAUUAAAUUGAGAUAAUUUUAAAAAUUAAUUGAAAUAAAUUAUAAAACUUAAUUUUUAAUUAAUUUAUUAUUAAAAAACAAAAUUAAAAAAAAAAUGGAUGGUUAUAGACAUUUGCAUAGUUAGUGACAUACUUUUGGUUAGGAUGACUAUGAAGAUAGUGCGGCUUGAUUUUCAUGACUGCUACCUCCAUGAUAAAUGUUGUCAUGGGGUCAAUUUUUCGCUCUCGAAAACAGACCUCGCGCGGCAGUCUAGUCCCGCUAGACUCAGCCUUUCCCUCGUCUAUUCACUCGUGUUUUGCCUACGACUAGUUUGUCCCACAAACCCAAGAGAUCCCCACACUCUUUCAACGUCACAAGCAAGCAGAAUAACACUAAUGAAUAUGAACAGAAUCAACACAGCAGAUUACAUGAACAAGUCCCAACCUUUUCAUUAACUUAACUAAAGGAUUACACAAAGUCCAUCUUGUGUGCUAUGCACAUUUCCGUUCUCUGCUGCCUACCAGCAUAUUGCAUGCUACACAUUUACAGCCUAUCUAUUUACAAGAUAAUGGAAGUUACAAGUAUAAACUACCCCUAACUCCCUGCACAGCUGGAGCACCCAUUAUCCCAUGUUCUGCCAACUUCUUCCCCACAUAAGAAACUGUCGCAACUGCCGAUAACUGCUCCCAGAACUGCUGCAACUGCAUUGACAUGUUCUUUCACAAACCAACUACCCACUGCCAGCAAUAGGAGAGGAAUGGCUAUUCUCUCUCUCUCUCUCUCUCUCUCUCUCUCUCUCUUCAAUUGAUGAUGAUGCAAGGCUACAAUUGCUUAAAGUCUUCUGUAGAGGGACUUGAUAGAAUGAUAAUGGUGAUGAUAUCGUCGAAAAUGGAGGUUAAAGAUAAGAGAUAUCAAGGGAGGAAGUUUCAGCUUUAGAGAGAGAAAGACAAGGUGAGGAUUUCUUAUGGGAGAAAGAUAGGAAAAGAUGAAUAGUAUUUUUAUAGGAUUUAUCUCUCCACCUUUCAUUUUCUCACCAAAGACAAUUAUGAUGGCUAGGGUUUUGGAUGAAAGAGAUGGUAAAUAAUAUUUACUGUUUGUUAGGAAUCCAAUGGUGGCCUCAUCUCUUUUUGUUCUAGAUCUUUUUCACUAUUUAUAUUAUUAACAAAUAAUCUAAAACGCAUGGGGAAUGUACUUUCCCCAUGUAUUUUUUUUUUCCUGUUUUGGUUUUUAUUUUUUUGCCAUUUUCUCAUUUAUUUUUGUUUUUUUUAUUUUUUCUUUCUUUCUUUUGUUUAUUUUUUUUUUUCCCCACAUUGUUUUUCGUUCCCCCCCCCAUAUUUCUUUGGGUUUUGCAUGUUUUUUUUCUUUUUUUUUCCCAAGAUUGUUUUCUUCUUUUGUUUUUUUAUUUUUUUUAAACUAUGAUUUUUUUUAAUAUUAAACUGGUUGAGAAUUUAGUAAUGCAAUUUUUUUCUUAAACUGGUUGAGAAUUUAGUAAUGCAAUUUUUUUCUUUAAAACAUUAUGGAUUACUACAAUAUUUCCCAAAUAGUCUUUGUCGAUUUUAUUUUUUUUAUAUUGAGCUGAUUGAGAAUUUUGCUUCGUAGAUUUUUCUUUAAAACACCGUGAAUUGUUACAAUGUUUCCCCACAUGGUUUUUGUUUUGCUACAGUGUUUCCCCAUAUUUUUUAAAAAAUUAUUUUUGUCUAAUUUGUUUUUAAUAUUGAGCUGGUUGAGAAUUUAGCUUUAACUUUCUUCACAUGUUUUUCUUUCCAUUUUUUUUCAUUUUGUUUUUGCUCCUUUUUUUUUUCCAAAAUUGUCUUCUUUUUUUUUACAUUUUUGUGUGUUUUUUUUUUCAUAAUUGUUUUUGUUGAUUGUUUUUUUAAUAUGGAGCUGGUUGACAAUUUAGCUUUAUAGUUUUUCUUUAAAACAUUGUGGAUUGCUACAGUGUUUCCCCACAUGCUUUUUUUUCUUUUCUUAUGAUUUUUUUUCCAGAAUUGUCUUUGUCGAUUGUUUUUUCCAUAUUGAGCUGGUUGAGAAUUUAGCUUCGUAGUUUUUUUUCUUUAAAACACUAUGGAUUGCUACAGUGUUUCCUCACAUGAUUUUUUUUAUGAUUUUUUUUAAAAUUAUCUUUAUCAAUUUUAUUAUUUUUAAUAUUGAGCUGGUUGAAAAUUACAACUAUAUGUUUCCUCAUGAAACACUAUAGAUUGCUACAGUGUUUCCCUGCAUGAUUUUUUUUCCUUUUGUUUUUUAUGAUUGUUUCCAAAAUUUUCUUUGUUGAUUUUAUUUUUUAAAAUAUUAAGCUGGUUAAGAAUUUAGCUUUGUAGUUUUUUUCAUGAAAAUAUUGUGGAUUGCAGCAGUUUUUCUCCAUAUAAUGUUUUUUAUUUUUUCUACAAACCCACGACAAUACACAAGCAUGCCAUAAGCCUGCGGCAUCGCGCGGACAUGACAUCUAGUACAUAUAACUAAAGGGUGUGGGGAAAUCACUGUUCCCCCACACCCAAAAGCACUGUGGAUUACAACAGUAAUCCACAGUGCUUUCCUCUUCUUUUUUUUUUUGCUAACUUUUCCCUUUUUUCUUUUUUUUUCGUUUUUUUUUCUUUUUUUUCAAAAUUAUUUUUUUUUCAACCUUUCUAUUUUUUUUUAAUAUUGAGCUGGUUAAAAAUUACAGUUACAAUAUGUGAGGAAAACACUCUAACUUUCCUCGAAAAUUAUUGUUGAUUGCUACAAUGUUUUUUCCCACAUGGUUUUUUUCUGUUUUUGUUAUGUUUUUCCCUAAAAUUAUCUUUGUCAAUUUUAUUUUUUAAAUAUUAAGCUGGUUAAGAAUUGCAAUUACAAGUAAAUACAAGUUUUUCCUCACAAAACACUAUGAAUUAAUACAGUUUUUCCUCACAUGGUUUUUUUCCAGUUUUUUUCGUGUGUUUUUUUGUGAUAUUUUUUUCCAAAAUUAUCUUCGUCGAUUUUUUUUUUUAAUAUUGAGUUAGUUAGAAUUUAACUUUGUAAUAAAGCUUAAUCAUGUAGGGAAAGCAUUGUAGCUUUGCUCAUAAAACAUUGUGGAUUGCUACAGUGUCUCUCCGCAUGGUUUUUUUUUGUUAUAAUUUUUUUCAAAUUAUCUUUUUCAAUUUUAUUUUUUUAAUAUUGAGUUGUUUGUGAAUUACAAUUACAAGUCAUUACAAAUAAGGCUAAAUCAUGUGGGGAAGCACUGUAGCUUUCAUCACAAAACACUGUGAAUUGCUAUAGUGUUUCCAACAUGAUUUUUUUUCCUUUUUUUGCUAUUUGUUUUGUUAUUUUUUUUCUAAAAUUAUCUCUGUCGAUUUUUUUUUAAUAUUGAGCUGAUUAAGAAUUUAGCUUUGUAAUUUUUUUCUUUAAAACACUAUGAAUUGUUGUAGUGUUUUCCCAUGUGAUUUUUUUUAUGAUUUUUUCCAAAAUUAUCUUUGUCGAUUUUUUUUUUUUAAUAUUGAGUUGGUUAAGAAUUAUAAUUACAAUAAAGCUAAAUCAUAUGAGGAAAGCGUUGUAGUUUUUCUCACAAAACACUGUGGAUUGCUACAAUCUUUCUCUAAAUGGUUUUUUAUUUUAUUUUAUUGGGAAAAACGCUAUAGUUUUCCUCACAAAACAUUGUCAAUUGCUACAAUGUUUUUUCUCAUGGGUUUUUUUCCUUCCAAAAUUAUCUUUGUUGGGUUUUUUUUAAUAUUAAGUUGGUAGAGAAUUUAUCUUUGUAAUUUUUUUUCUUUUUAUUAAGUGAAAAGCUAAAUCAUGUGGCGAAAGCACUAUAUCUUUUCUCCCAAAACACUAUAGAUUGCUACAAAUCAUUUUGUUCAGUCUCUAAGUUUUUGAUCACCAACACAACUUUUUUUUUCGUCAUGAAAUAUUUGCUCUAUCAUACCUUCAAUUUCUAUUACUUAUCUAGCGCUGGUUCACAAUUAUAACACUAUCAAGUGCAUUUGUUUUAUAAGCCCGCGCAGCGCGUGGGCAUGUCAUCUCGUGCACUUUUAUAGCGCGUUCAGUCAAGUCCAUCGGAUGGUUCCCAGAAAGAGGAGCCUAGAAGGCUAGAAAGGUAGGUAAGCUGCUUCUGGCAAGUUAUUCCCAGAUGCUGCAAUUGCUUAAAGUCUACAGAUGGUAAAUAAUAUUUACUGUUUGUUAGGAAUCCAAUGUUGGCCUCAUCUCCUUUUGUUCUAGAUCUUUAUCACUAUUUAUAUGCAAUUUUAUUUUUUCCUCUCAAUUGCUUUGUCCCUUCAUUUAUUUAUUUUAUGCUUUGGUUUCUUUGUACUAUUUUUUUUAUAUAUAUUUUAAAUUGAUUUGAAAAAAAUAGUAUUAACAUCGACUCAAUGAAAAAAAUUAAACAAUAAUUUUAAAAUAAGUGUAUUAAUAACUAGAUAUGUUGAAAGUAAAUUUUGAAUUCUUAAAAAAAAAACAUUGUAAAUUAUGACAACGAUGUAAAUACGUCAAAAUUUUUUGUUUUUUGAAUUUCUAUUGUUUUUUUACUAUAUUUGGAUUUUUUGGAAAAAUAUUUUAAAAAGAAGGUAAAAAACAAAUUAUGACAUAUUAAAGGUUUUAUAAUGAAAAAUAAUGGUAAUUACGAUAUCCACACGUGAACAUGGAAUUAUUAUUUUUUUUUAUGACAAAAGCACCUCCUUCAAGAACUUGUCUAAAUUCAUGAAUGAAGAAGAACUACUUGGACCAGUGGCUUCCUCUGCUAAUAUUUUCCACUCCAUGGCUUUGUUCUUUAGUUCCCUACCUUUCACUCCUUCAAUCAACCCUCGCACAAGGAUUUCAACUUUAUCUCAAAACAGAACAUUAAUUUUUAUCCAGCCCAUAAUAAAGUAUUAGUUUUAAAAUUAAGAACUAAUCAUCCCACCUAGAACAAAGCAUUAGUUUUUAAACCAAGAACUAAUCAUUCAGCCUAGAACAUGACAACAAUCUGAUAUCAAAUAUUAAUACAAUUGAAUAAUAAAAAUCUAUUUUGGUGUUUUAACAAUUCUAAAUAGCGCAGAAUUAAUAAGGGCCGAGCGCCUAUCUUACGUCUAAGCUCUAUGUAUAGAAUCUUGUCUCAAUAUUCCCUCAACAAUCUCUCCUGUAAUUUUAACAGCACAAUGUUAAAUGUCUCAAUAUUCCCUUGCAUUAAUUUGAUUUUUUGCAAAUAAGUCGAUACAUAAACAAUUAUUAUAUAAUACCAUUCUUUUAUCUUUUUGGUUGAAAAUACCAAAAAGAAAAGGAUAUGUUUUCUACUUAAAAUCCUUAAAACCCAAUUACUUAUUAAUCAUCCCAUUAUUAAAUUCAUUACAAUUAUACCCUUUUCAAAUAUCAAUUUAUUCAAACAAACUCAUCCCUCCUAUUUCUUCAAUUGAUGUUUCAUUUUAGGUAGGGGUAUGUUUUUCUUUCCAAUUAACCACAAUUUCCUCGUCAAUCCAACAAUCAACUCUUCAUUGUAACACUACAAACAUUAACACAAGUAAAAUUCACUUUAAUUCUAUCAAUUUCUCAAAAGCAUUAAAUUCUUAAAACAUCAAAAUUCAUAUUUAUCAUGCAGAAAUAUACAGAAAUAUUAUCAAUCAUCUAAACUAUGAACCACAUCUUUAGUUAUACAUGAAUGAUGAAUAUAUCCAUUGAAUCCGAGAUCCUCUUUUUAUUCAGGCAAGUUUUAAUUCAGAUUUUCAUGCUUUACCUUUCUCUUCUGUAUUUCAGACUAUAUGUUUCUUCUUUUUUUGGGGCUAGUUCGCCAUCAACUUGUCGGCACCAGCUAUUUUAAUAUAUCCUAUCUUGCAAACUUGUCUAAAUUCAUGAAUGAUGAGCCUAUUGGACCUGUGGCCUCCCUGCUAAUUUUUUUUCCAAUCCAUGGCUUGGCUCUUUAUUUUCUUACCUUUUCUUUCUUUGCUUCCAUCAACUCUCUCGCAAGUUUGUCCACAUUUUCUCUCUUGACAUUGCUCUAAAUCUUCAUUCCAAUUCCCCACCUCGCAUGUGUUUGUUUUGUUGAUCACCGAAGGAUGGCCAACAAAGCCUAGGCAUGCCAGAAGAAAUGCUCUCAAUUGUUGAACCCCGUCAACAAUGUGUUACAGAACCUCCAAUCUGUUGAUGUUUAAGAACAUCUUCUUGUGGACACCAACCAGAUAUAAAGCCCUUCUCUUUAGUUUCUUCAGUGAAUUAUGGUGACACUAUUGAGGAGUCGCCAUUGAUCAUCAUGUCAGACCUUAUUAUCCAUAGAAAUGGGCGACCACUUUUAUCAAUUCCCAUUCCAAAUUCAAAGAGCCGCUGCUUUGUAGCGUCCGCUAAGAUGCCAAAAUUCACAUAAAUUACUGAGUUGGGCGUCUUGGAGUCCGGCCAUUAAUUGGAGGCACUCGGCUUCUUCUUUCCAUAGAUUACAUCCAAUUGAAUUCAAAUCAUCUUCUUGCAUUUCAUUGAGAAGUAAUAGAAGUGAACCCAUCUUGUAGGCAUGAGGAAACAUAGAGUGAAGGACUUCUCUUGCUCCGAAGCAUCAAAAGUAAGGAAAGUCCCUUCAGAAGCUCUCUCUGCACAUUCCAAGCACAAGUUAAACAAGCAAUCAUUUGGAUCUGUUGCCCGAACAAAACUUGGAAGAUCCCUUAACCUUAUGUCUUUCAUUCCUGGAAUAUUACAUUCGAGGUGUUGUUUGAUAAUACUGUUUAAAUACAAUACACUAUAACUUGGAACUUGAUUGAGGUGUGAAAUUACAAAUAAUAAAACUUUAUAAAAGAGUUAAACAAAAAAACUAAGAAAUUUUAAGAAUAAAGACCAAAUUGGAAACACCAAUACACGAUAAAAAAUUAAACAUGUAAAAUUUUUUAACGUCUUUUUUUACAUUAAAAAAAUAAUAAAUGUAAAUAAAAAAAACUUAUGCACGCAUCAAAUCAAAUAAAUCAUGAACCAUUUUUUAAAUAAAUUAUACAAAAAAGUCGUGAACGAUAAAUAAAAACGUAAUUCAAAAAAUUUGAGAGACCAAUAUAGCGUGUAAGUUUUUACCAACAUAGUUACCGAUAAAAAUAUACCGACAGUACAAUUCAUCCAUGAAUAUACUGACAGAAUUUGUUUGUCGGUAUAUAUUAAUAAAAUUAUAGAUGAUAUUAUAGUAGGAUUCAGAAAGACAAAUCGUACAGUGACGUGAUAUUAAUACCGAUAGAAUUGCCGAUGGAGUCACCAUUGGAAUAAUUUCGUCGCUAAAUCCAUAUAUUUAAUAUAUGACCUGGCGCUCGACUCUCCUCUUUCCCUCUUCCAUUUCUACUUCUUCCUUGUAAAAUUUUUCUCUGCAACAAAAUAGCUAGCCCCACCCCCUCAAUCUCAACACAACUCAACCUCCCACAACUUUUCUAGCCACUAUAGCACUCGGUUUGUCAGCAUUCGUGUUCUAAUUAAAAAUUUAUUGAGGAUUCUCCACCUUAUGUAAGCAAAUCUACCUUCUUCUUCUUUUUUUAAUUUGAACACAAUUUUAAAAUGUUAAUUUUUUUGCAUAUGUUUAUAGUAUAUGUAUUUUGUUUAGGUGUUUACUUGUUUUAUUAUUUUUUCUCAAACAAACUUGUUGUAUGAAUUUAUGAUUUAUACAUGUUAUAGUUUGUUUUGGAUUUUAUAAAAUUGUAUUUGUUUGUAAAUUAUUGAAAUUUAUGUUGAAUUACUGACUUGGAUGUUUUGUGAUGAAAUAAAUAAUGACUUGUUUAACGAGUCCAUUUUAUAUUUUAUCAAUUUCAUUUCUAAGUUGUAAUUUCCAUAAAUAUUGUAAUUUAAAAUAAUUGAAUUACAAUAUUUUUAGUGUUAAUAAUUGAAUUCCACAUGGAAUUAAAUCUUUAAAAGUAAUACAAAAUAAAUCAUAGGCAAACUCAUUUGACUUACGAUUCCAUUCCAAAGAGGAGAAAUUUAAAAUAAUACAUUAUUUGUGUCGAGAGUUUAUCAUUCUAACUUCAAAAGCACUCCCUUCACCAACUCGUCUAAAUUCAUGGAUGAUGAGCCACUUGGACCAGCGGCUUCCUCUGCUAAUAUUUUCCACUGCAUGACCUUUUUCUUUACCUCCCUGCCUUUCUCUCCUUCCAUCAACUCUCGCACAAGCUUCUCCACUUUAUCUCUUUCCGCAUUGCUAUCAAUCUCCAUUCCAACGCCCCACUCAUUGCAAGUGUACCUACAGUUUGUUUGUUGAUCACCAAAGAACGGCAAACAAAGCAUGGGCACCCCAGAAGAAAUGCUCUCAGCUGUUGAAUUCCAUCCACUAUGUGUUAGGAAACCUCCUAUUGAUGGGUGGUUGAGAACUUCCUCUUGUGGACACCAGCUAGAAAUAAAUCCUCUGUCUUUAGCCUCGUCAGUAAAUUCUGGUGGCAAUAUGGCGGAGUCGCCUGUGACCAUGUCAGGCCUUAUUAUCCAUAAAAAUGGGUGACCACUUUUUGCAAGUCCCAUUCCCAAUUCAAUCAGCUGCUGCUUUUUGGCGACAGCUAUGCUACCAAAGUUCACAUAAAUUACUGAGUUUGGUUUCUUGGAAUCAAGCCAUUGGAGACACUCAACCUCUUCUUUCCAUAGAUUAUAUCCAAUAGAAUCUAGAUCAUCUUCUUUCAUUUGAUUGAGAAGUAAUUGAAGUGGACCGAUCGUGUAGACACGAGGAAACAUUGAGUAUAGAGCACUCAAGACUUCUUUCUCCAAAGCAUCAAAAGUAUGGAAAAUCACUGCAGAACCUUCAGAUGCUCUCUCAGCACAUUCCAUGCAGAAGUUGAAAUGGUAAUCAUCUGGAUCAGUUGUACGAAGAAAACUUGGAAGAUCCCUUAACCGUAUAUCUUUCAUUCCUGGAAUCCAGUCUAGUACUUGAUCCAAAUAGCCAUUUGUUAAAAAGCUCUCGUCUGCGAACAAAAUUUAAAUGCAUAUGUAGCUUACCAGUUAUGGGCUAGUAAAUGAAGACAACAGCAGAAGAGGAAUUAGCGUAAAAUCAGAAGAGAAGAAAGGUUCCCUAGCUUGAACUCAAAUUUCAGGUUACGCAGCCGAAGGGCUACGUACCCUGGAAUUAUAACCACGGAUCUGGUACAUGUACUGACUAUACCAUGAUCUAGCAUAAACUACCAGGAUAUUUUACCAUUCAAUCAGAAAGUUUUAGUCCAUAAGAACUCAGUUCAUGUAGCAAUCUAUUUAUUUCCAUGGAUGACGGCUACGAUGAUGCAGCACAUGAACUACUAGGAUAUUUAUCUAAUGCCCAAAUGAAAUAAAAGAAAAUCAUAAUGAAGUGUCAUUUCAAUUCCAAUUCUUGUUCUUACCUUUUAAUGGAAACAGUCCUCUUUCUUUGAGCUCUUUAUAUUGCUUAAGCCCCAUGAAAGUGCAAGCAGAGAUAGAAAAGAACAAGGCAACAGGAAUUCCAUGCCUCUCAGCAGCAGUGAUGGCAGCUGGCACAAAUCCAUCAGAUACAAUGCAAGUCACUUGAGGAACAUCAGCAGAUGCUGUAUGAUUGAGCUUGGCAAGCAAUUCAUUAAAUGGAGCUAGCAAGUUCUUCUUGCAAGCCUCCAAAAUUGCUUGUGUAUCUUGGGUAGCAUUCUCAUCUGAAGGAGGGAGGCCAUCUGGGAUAGAUUCGAAUCGAAAGUCGGGCAAGCCAUUCAGGGAAUAAGGACCUCUAGAUUUAAGCAUGCGUCUGUGGUUGAACUCUGUGUUCACAAAGGUUAUGCGAAAACCUCGGUAAUGCAGUAGUUUUGCUAGUUUAAGCAUUGCCUUUACAUGGCUUUGAGCUGGACAGGGAAUACAUAUUACAUGAGGCUUGUCAGCUAAGAUUUUGCGAAACAUGUCUCUAGCUCUUUCCUUCUUUCUCUAACUCUUUCUUUAGGGUAAUUGUUUUGCCACUAUAUAUCGUCGGUCAAAGUGAAGCUCACACUUUACAAUAUGGAUACAUUUUCUUAUCAACAAGACUCUAUAUAUAAAAUAGCAGCCAAGUAGAGGUACAAUAUGAUUUUAUAUUCUCUUUUAAUUUUAGUCUAAUUAAAAUCAUUAUUCUAGACUGAUGCCGGCCGGCCAUGGAAUUUAUUGGCUUUUGUAUCAGUUGAUAACGGGAGAAUUUUCGUGGUUGUCUGAAUGUCAGGCUGCCGUACGUCACAAACGUUUGACAUUAGAAAGGCAUGAUAAAAAUAGUCAUUAAUUUAUCAUCUUCAUGUAUGCCAUUAAUCAUUUUCUUGAAGCUGACAAAUGCUAAACAAAUUUGUUUUCAAUUCUAGAUCAAAGAAACCAUCGGAGAUAGUAUAGACAAUAUUGUUUUUGGUUUGGAUUAUUAUUAUCAUCCCUUUUUCUAUAAUAAAAACUUGAAAUUCAUCAUCAAACUUCACAAAAUCUUUAUAAGAUUCAUCUAAUUUAGAAAAUAUUAAUUUAUCUACAUUCAUAUAUAUAAUUGCUAUAUUCUGUAUCUAAAUACCAUAAAAUUUUUGUAAUUUUUCUUAUUACAUGACAAGAAAUCAAUAAAGAUAUUUCAUCUUUUUUCUCCAUAAAAUUAGAUUUUCUACAUCAUUCUUUAAAUUUGUGAUAUCCCAUAAAUGAUAGUUAAGUUAUUCAACCUUUGACUUGUUAGGCGAGACUUUUCAUGAAAUGAAGCGUGGCGUGUAGUGAUUGUAAGGGAUUCAGUCAGCUGGAACCCAAAUUCAUUGAACCAUUUGGACGUAAAUAUGAUAUGGCCAACAAAGCAAUCAUUAGUUCCUCUUGCGGACUUUGACACGAAGUAUGGCCAACAAAGCAUAGGCACACCCGAAGAAAUGCUCUCAAUUGUUGAACCCCGUCCACUAUGUGUUAGGAAACCUCCUAUUGAUGGGUGGUUGAGGACUUCCUCUUGCGGACACCAACUACAAAUAAAGCUUCUUUCCUUGGUUUCUUCAGUGAAUUCUGGAGGUAAUUUCGUGGUGUCAAAUAACUAUGUCAAUCCAAUAGCUUAAACUGUUAGGUGAGGUUUUAAGAUAUGAUUUAUAUUAUUUUCCAACACACCCCCUCAAGUGAAAGCCCUUUGGACUUGAAAUUUACACAGGUCCACAUUACCUUGUGUUUAAUUUUUAUCAAAUAAAUAGGGAUGGUGAGAUUCGAACUCAUGAUCGCUUGGUCAUCAAGGCUCUGAUACUAUGUCAAAUAAUCAUCUCAACCCAAUAGCUUAAGUUGUUAGGUAAGGUUUCAAGAUAUAAUUUAUAUUAUUCUCCAACACGCGGAAUCACCAGUGACCAUAUCAGGCCUUAUUAUCCAUAAAAAUGGAUGGCCACUUCUAGCAAGUCCCAUGCCAAAUUCAACGAGCUGUUCCUUCGUAACGGUUGUUAUGCUACCAAAAUUCACAUAUAUUACUGACUUGGGUUUGUUGGAAUCAAGCCAUUGGAGACACUCAACUUCUUUUCAACAGUAAUUAACAUCAAAAAUUGCUAAAGGAAAACCUUGGCUCUUUUAGUUUUUACUAUAAUAAAAUAAAAUUAUAAUAAUUUCUCAAUCUUCAGCCAUUAAAAGGGGGUGAAUCUACAAAGUAAAUUGAUGAAAAUAUUGUCUGUCGAGCAAAGAGCAGCUACACAGCUAGUUCUUGAUAUGUUUUCACAACUCAUAUACGAGUUUACCUCAACAAUAUAUUGCUCCCUGUAUUGUACCGUGAUCUCAUUGGUUCUGCCUUUCCUCUCCUCCCCUAUUAAUGUAAUUUCUUUUGAGGGCUUUCAGCCCCUUUCUUCACACGAAAAGGUGAAAAUAAUAAUAAUAAAAAAAGCACUUCAUUACAAUGAAACCACCAUGUCACCUUGAGAACAAUACAUUCCGUAAAGAUAUCAAAGGCUCUAGUCCUACCACAUGUCAAAAGAUUAGAGAAUGAAAUGGUUAGAAUGUGUUAGUAGUUGUUAGUCUUGUUUGUCAGUUAAGAGAAUUAGUUAGUAUUGUUUAGUGAAGAAUAGAUAACGUGAAUAAGCUUCUUACUGUAGCAAUAUAUAAACUGAUAUCAAGUAAGGGAAUCCUUCUCUGCUUUUCUUCAUCUCUCUAUAGUAUUUCUUUUUAUGUGUAAAUCUUACAAUCCUAACACAUUCGUCUUCAGCUUUAACUGUCUUUAGUUUAGCAUGCUGUAUUAUUUUUUCACGACAAAAGCACUUCCUUCACCAAUUUGUCUAAAUUCAUAGACGAUGAACCACUUGGACCAUUGGCCUCCUCUGCUAGUUUUUUCCACUCCAUGGCUUUCUUCUUCAUGCUCUUACCUUUCUCUCCCUCCAUCAACUCUCUCACAAGCUUCUCCACUUUAUCUCUUUUGACAUUGUUAUCAAUCGCCAUUCCAAUUCCCCACUCAGAGCAUGUGUACCUACAGUUUGUUUGCUGAUCACCAAAGAAUGGCCAACAAAGCAUAGGCACACCAGAAGAAAUGCUCUCAAUUGUUGAACCCCAUCCACUAUGUGUUAGGAAACCUCCUAUUGAUGGGUGGUUGGGGACUUCCUCUUGCGGACACCAACUACAAAUAAAGCUUCUUUCCUUGGUUUCUUCAGUGAAUUCUGGAGGCAAUAUCGCGGAGUCGCCAGUGACCAUAUCAGGCCUUAUUAUCCAUAAAAAUGGAUGGCCACUUUUAGCAAGUCCCAUGCCAAAUCCAACGAGCUGUUCCUUCCUAACGGGUGUUAUGGUACCAAAAUUCACAUAUAUCACUGACUUGGGUUUGUUGGAAUCAAGCCAUUGGAGACACUCAACUUCUUCUUUCCAAAGAUUGCAUCCAAUAGAACUUAGAUAUACUUCUUGUAUUUGAUUGAGAAGCAAUUGAAGUGGACUGAUUGUAUAGACUCGAGGAAACAUAGAGUAAAGGGCAUUCAGAACUUCUUGCUCCAAAACAUCAAAAGUAUGGAAAAUAACUGCAGAACCUUCAGAAGCCCGCCCAGUACAUUCCAAGCAGUUUUUAAACAUAAAAUCAUUUGGAUCUGUUGUACGAACAAAACUUGGAAGGUCUCUUAGCCUUAUAUCUCUCAUUCCUGGGAUCCAAUCUACAACUUUGUCCAAGUAGCCAAUAGUUAAAAAGCUCUCAUCUGCAACAAAAAAAAAUAAAAUUGAAUUCAUAUAUUAGCUUUUUGAUAAAAGGUAAUGCUACGUAAAUGAAUAAAAAUGACCUUUUCCCUUGUUCACGGACCAUCCAAUGAACUAGUAGAAAAUCUUAAUCAAAAUAUAUAUAGUUACAUUUUUUUUUUCCUUGCUCAUACCUUUCAGUGGUGUAAGACCUUUUUCUCGGAGUGCUUGAAAUUGUUUAAAUCCCAUGAAGCUGGAAGCAGAGAUGGUGAAGAACAAAGCAAUCGGAAUUUGGCGCAGCAUCGAUAGCGACGGGCAUGAAACCAUCAGAGACGAUGCAAGUCACUGGGGGCACAUUAGAAGAUGCUGAAUCAUUAAGCUUGUCAAGCAGGUCAUUAAACGGAGCUAAUAAGUUCUUCUUGGCAGCCUCACAAAGUGCAGCGACAUCUUGGGUUUCAUUCUCAUUUGAAGGAGGGAGGCCAUCUGGAAUGGAUUCAAACCGAAAAUCGGGCAAGCCAUUCAUGGCAUCAGGACCUCUAGAUUUAAGCAAACGUUUAUGAUUAAACUCUGUGUUGACAAAGGUUAUGUGAAAACCUUUGUAAUGUAGUAAUUUUGAUAGCUUAAGCAUUGACUUAAUGUGGCUCUGAGCUGGGCUGGGAAUGCAAACUGCAUGAGGCUUGUCAGCUAAAAUAUUAAAAAUCAUCUCUCUAAUUCUUUGUUUCUUACUUUCUUUCUGUAUUUGCUCUAUGUAUUGCCUACACAAUAUAGAGAUUCUGUCCCUAUAUAGAGCAAUGCUACAAUUUUUGUACGUGUAUACACACAACGAAAGGUAAGGGUGUUUUUAUAAGGAAAAGUUGGAACUCAGAUUGAGUUUUUUUAAUUUUUUUUAUUUAAAAUGAUAUUGUUUUCUAAAAAAAAUAAAUUAAAAGAACGUUUUUUUAUAUAUAUAAAUUUAAUAAAACAUUGACUAGAUUGCUUAGGUCGCAAAUUCUCAUCAAAUCACUCAAGUUUCAUCGAUCAACAUAUUCAACCAUUCAAAACCAAGCUUAGCUAGGGGCUGAACUCCAAGUUAACGCAUCAUAGAAUGAAACAACUGAGUAAAGAUUUUAUAACUUAUGCUGUCUAUUAUAAAAGAACGAAGAUCUUCUUCCUAGAAGCGAAGAGAGGUUCAGUGUGUCCAAUCAUCACACCUUCAACAUCUCAAGGUUUUUUUUUUUUUAUCAAGAAUCAAGGCUGUCAAUUAUUAUCUUUGUAAGAGAUUAUAAUUAGUGUUUGAGAGUAUAAUAGUAGUUGUUUUUAAAAAUAUUUUUUGUUUAGAAAUAUAUCAAAAUAAUUUUUUUUAUUUUUUAAAAAUCAUUUAAAUAAAAUUUGAAAUUUUUUUCGAGUCUCAUUUUACCUUGACCAAAGAUUUCUCAGUCAAUCCUAUUUAAUAAUAUAUGAAAUAUAUUUUUUAAUUCACCUAAGAUGAUGAUUCAUCUCUUGAUCACUCAAGUGCUUAAGUACCUUCAUGUAGUUCAUGAUAUACUCAAUGUUUGCUUUUUCAUUAUAUUGAUUAAGAUAACAUGUAACAUGAUUAAAGUGUAACAUUUACCAUAUAAGAUAAUUUAGUGAUAUUAAAUCUAGAAAUCGCUUCCACAAUUAUCACAUGAGCUUUUCUAUAAAUAUAUGUGAUCUCUUCAUAUGAAAUUCUCAUAUAGGUUAGUUCAGUGUACAUGUCUUAUAACAAGUAUCUACAUAUUAGUUUUAAAUAUUUUUUAUACCUCAACUUGCAAGUUCAGUUACUUCAUUUCAUAAAUGAAAUAAUAUAAUAGAUAUCAAUCUUACGAUUUUAAUGAAUGUCUAGUAUUUAAAAGAAUAUCGACCAUAAACAUUUUAGGAACAACAUUUUGAUGCAAUAAAAAUUCUAUAAUUAUAAUAACAUUUUAGAAAUAUUUUAGGAAGAAGUUUGAUCAAUCAACUUCUUCAACAAUUCAGAACCAAACUUAGCCCCGGCUGAACUCCGAGUUAACAGGUCAUCGAAUAAAACCACUGAGUUAAGAUUUUAUAACUAUGCUGUCCAUUAUAAAGGAAAGGAGGAGGACAGAUCAAUUUCUUCUUCGUAGAAGCGAAGAGAGGUUCCUUGUGUCCAAUCACAACACCAUCAACAUCUCAAGUUUUUUUUUUUUUUUGUCAAGAAUCAGGGCUGUCAAUUAUUAUCCUUGCAGGAGACUGUGCUGAUUCACCUUUGCUGCUUGCACGUAUUUGUCGAGAUUGUACUCAGAUUCAUGAAUGAGAUGCGACCUCACACUGUUUUUCCAGUCUAUUAUGGCGUGAAACAAUCAAAGACAAAUUAAUGAUCAAACGGAGUUUAUACAAUUGCAUUUGAUGAGAACGUAGAAAUUGCCAUUUCAUCUUGGCAAAGUCAUAAAGGCAUGAAUAUUCUCACCAAAAUUGUCAUUUCAUCUGGGUUGAAAUCACGGAAAAAAUAUUGAACUGAUGAUUGCUUGGUAUUAAAUAUUUUCCCCAAGGACAAAACAUCAUAUUUACGUUCAAUGAAUUUGGGAUGAGUAUGAAGAUAGUGCGGAUUGAUUUACUUCGACGAAUCAUGUGGUUUCCUUAAUAUUUUUGUUAUGCUAAUUUUCUAAUUAUUUUUUUUAUUUUACAAAAAAAUAUAUUCAAUGCGGUAACUUGCAAAAACACUCGUCGUAUUGCUCCUUCGUAAGUUAGAGGGACGGAGCAAGUGUCAUAGAAAAUAAAUGAUUUAAUAUGGGCCAAAGGUUUUAUGAUUUCUGGGCUAUAAUGGAUCUAAGCUAAGGGACCAUAUGUGGACUAUCUGUCAAAUUAAUUUCUUGAAUCUUCGGCCUAUUUUUGUUCCGUAAUUGAUCUGAAAGGGCUGGAGGAUCCAAACAAGUGUUUGUUAUAGUGGUAAAUAUUAUUUUUUUAUUUAGAAAUAUAUUAAAAUAAUAUAUAUAUAUUUUUAAAUUUAUUUUUAACAUGAAUAUAUUAAAAUGAUUUUAAAAAAUAUAAAAAAAUAUAAAAAACAUAGCAGAUAUGCUUAUUGAAAAAACAUCAGAACAUGUCAUGGACCUCAAAACAAGACAAAGACAACAGAAGAAACAACUUAUCUCCAAUCAAAUAAUAAUUCCAGAUUUCUAGAAUUUAUAUUUUUUCAUGGCAAAAGCACUGCCUUCACCAACUCGUCUAAAUUCAUGGAUGAUGAGCCACUUGGACCCGCAGCUUCCUCUGCUAAUUUUCUCCACUCCAUGACUUUUUUCUUUACCUCCCUGCCUUUCUCUCCUUCCAUCAACUCUCGCACAAGCUUCUCCACUUUAUCUCUUUCCGCAUUGCUAUCAAUCUCCAUUCCAACGCCCCACUCAUUGCAAGUGUACCUACAGUUUGUUUGUUGAUCACCAAAGAACGGCAAACAAAGCAUGGGCACCCCAGAAGAAAUGCUCUCAGCUGUUGAAUUCCAUCCACUAUGUGUUAGGAAACCUCCUAUUGAUGGGUGGUUGAGAACUUCCUCUUGUGGACACCAGCUAGAAAUAAAUCCUCUGUCUUUAGUCUCGUCAGUAAAUUCUGGUGGCAAUAUGGCGGAGUCGCCUGUGACCAUGUCAGGCCUUAUUAUCCAUAAAAAUGGGUGACCACUUUUUGCAAGUCCCAUUCCCAAUUCAAUCAGCUGCUGCUUUGUAGCGACCGCUACGCUACCAAAAUUCACAUAAAGUACGGAGUUUGGUUUCUUGGAAUCAAGCCAUUGGAGACACUGUUGGGGUUUCCGGCACCCCCAUGCGCGGACCGGGGGUGUACUGAUAGUUGCUCAAAUGGAGGGCUAAGCACACUGACACAAUAUUUUACGUGGUUCGGCAAAACCGCCUACAUCCACGGGAGAGUCCAUAUUAUUAGAGAUAUAUAAAGAAAGGAUUACAACACAUAUGGAGGAGGAGGAUCACUUCACUCAAACUCAACUCCCAUUGCUCCCACACUGCUGCACAAGGCAACAGGCUGCUGCCCUUGGCAGCCCCUCACUUUCUCUCUUGUUCUCUCACGUUCUCUUCUCUACACUCUCUCUUUGCUCUCAAAUAAUUGCCUCUUUUAUAGGCAAAUAUGAUCAACAUUGGUGGGACAAUGAAGCCUUAAAACAUGCCACCAUUUGUGGCAUUAAUGGAGCAACCACUUGCUUAGUGGUGGGGUAUUGCCACCAAAUGGCAAUAUCCUAACAAUCACCCCCUUUGCCAUUUGUGUGGGCAAUUGUCCUCUUGCUUCUUCAGCACAAGCUUGCAUUCUGCAGCUCUUCCAAGCUUCCAUUCUGAGAGCGUCUUCAACACAACAUUCCCCUUCGAGCGUAUCAACCAUGCUCGGUCCGGAAUGAUUUUUCAAGCCUUACACCAAGGCUUGCAACACCCCCUUAAACGGAUAUUCCAAGUGCGACAGUCAUUAUCUGAGUAUCUCAGUGUGAUCACAAGCUCACCACUCUUCCAAGAGUCUACUCAUCCAGGAGUUGCGCCUGCCCUCUGUUCCACCCUAGAAACCACGCCUUACUUCUCCGUGAGUCUCUCGCUCUUAGUCGUAAGAGUCCAGGUAGCUCUCCACCUUUAACCAUGGGGGCAGCCCAUUAAAGGUUGAUCCAUAUCUGUCUUCAUACUCUGAGUAUUACAAUGCCAUUACCGAGCUCACCACCUUGACAAGAGUCAACUCGUUCCCGGAACCUGCGCAUGCCCUCUGCUUCUUCAUAGCAGCCGCGUCUUAGUGCUCCACAAGUCAUCCACUUAUUGUCCAAGGCAAAUGUCUUCUAGCUCAUUGAUCUUUAGCAUGGGAGCAAUAUCCAUGAAAGUCAAUCCUGCAUUUGUCUUCAUACUCAUCAUAGCCACUUCAUUGGCUACACACCUGUCCACUCAUAUCUAGCCAUUACAUUGGCUCUGGGGUUGUUCUGAACUGGGCUCAUAUCGUGGCCCACACACCUUCUCCUUAGGUGUCUCCGCUCGUUGUCAUACGGCGGUCUGAAAUGGGGCUCCUAUCAUGGCCUUCACACCUUCUCUAAGGCGUCUUCGCCCGUUGUCAUGGGGCGGUCUGAUCUUGGGCUCAUAUCAAGGCCUUCACACCUUCUCUCUAAGGUGUCUUCACCUUUCAUAGGUGGUCGCAUCCUCCUUCAACUGAGAUGCUUCAAAGUGGCUCCAAAAGUCUCUACCACCAUGUGCACUUAUGGGAGAGAUUACUGCCACUGACUACAUAGAAAGAGAAAGUUGCGGUAUACUCCUCGCAAUCCUCCACCUCAAUUUCUAUGUUUGGAGCUUCUGUGCCUUUCUGCUUGACAGCUCCACCUACACCAACUCUCUUUGAUGUCUUCGCCUUUCAUCAUAGGCGGUCGCCUUUUAUCACAGGCAUUUGCACCCCCUCAAUUAGGUGCCUCUGCAACAGCUCUCUUUCCAUCCUUGCAUGCAUUGGAAAGGUCUUCGCCUGUUGUCUUCAUCAAGAGCAUAAGAGACUUCUUGUUGUACAAACUUUAACAGUCUCUGCUCUGAGCUUCAUCUGGGAACACUUCUUCUCCUUGCACCUGUUGUCUCAUUACAGUACCUCGUUGGAUCCUACGGGUACCUCUGCACAAUCUCCGUGUGCCCUCGUGCAAUUUCUGUUCUUCAGAUUUCUCCCUAUUCCUUGCUUAUGUUUGACAGCAGCUCAUCCUGUCACAACACCUGUCCAAGUCAAAAAUAGGGUGCCAAUCUUUAUCCCCUUGCUGUAUUUCUCUUCCAUUAUCAGGGUCUUCAUCAAUUCUCCCUUCGAGAAAUCACAGUCACCGAAUCUAACUUCUUUUGAGAAAUCACCACUUCAUCAGAUCCUUGAUCAUACGGAACCCAACUGUUCCCUUGUGCCGUCAUCCUGCUAGUCUUCAACCGUUUCAUUACAAACUGCUAUAUAUACGAAAAUAGUACCGUAUGGAUAAUCCUUCCACUAAGCAAGUUCCCAGGAAAGAUUGGAGGGGUCACACUGGUCCCGCUUAAAACCAACCUCCUAGACAGAACUUCUUAGGCAUAUCUAUCCAUCGUACUGUCUUUCGUAUAUACACCAUUGCUAGCUUUGUUGCGCUUCUUACAGAGUGAUCUGGANNNNNNNNNNNNNNNNNNNNNNNNNNNNNNNNNNNNNNNNNNNNNNNNNNNNNNNNNNNNNNNNNNNNNNNNNNNNNNNNNNNNNNNNNNNNNNNNNNNNNNNNNNNNNNNNNNNNNNNNNNNNNNNNNNNNNNNNNNNNNNUCCUUCAAGGCAACAGUUAAAUUUCUCUCCACUUAGCAGUUCAGCACAUGUAAUUGGGUAAACAUGUGUGACAUGUUCUUCUUCAUCUCCAUCGACCACCAUGAUGACCAUCAGAUGCCUCCUGAUCGGGCAAUCUCUUUCGUUAAUUCACCACCGCCAUUUUUGGUCUCAAAUCUCAACGAUCGGACCGUACCAUUGCAUCCGGAACGAUCAAAUUAGCUGGAAACAAGUCUGAAAUCGUCCAAAUCGCACUUCAGACGGCUAAGAUUUGAUCAAAACAAUUCUGGCCUGAUGAGCGGCUCAGAUUCAAUCUCAUAUCCGGUUGCACGUAGGAUCAGCUACAUUGGAUCCUGUCCCUCGGCUCGCGGCUCGGCUCCAAUUCGGCUCGGUUCACUCGGCUCGGCUUGGCUCGCGGCUGAUGAUGUGGCAGGUGGGUCCCACUGUGCUGACGUGUCUGCUGACUGGACGCUGACAUGGUGAUUGUGCAUGCUGACAUCUCCGUUACAUCAUGCUGAUGUCAUUAUGGGCCAUGCUACUGUACAUGAUGAUGUCACAAUUACAUCAUGCUAAUGUCAUCCCUGGCAUGUCUACUAUUCACGCUGACAUCACUUUUACGUCAUGCUGAUGUCAUUCAUAUCCGGGUCAGUCACAUGGGUGGGGUCAACUGGUAUUCGGGUCGGGUCAACUCAUCCGGGCGAAGAAGAUGCGUGGGGCGCGUCUGGGCGCGUGGGCAGACGCCUUGCCGGAGAGUGAUGGAGAGUGCGGCCAUGUCCGACGUCCGAUUUUGACGCCGUUUUCACCAGUGGCUUCGUCUCUUCCUCCUCUACACAGUGGUAUGGUCAAAACACAAUUUUGACAACUUUCAUUUUUGAGCAAAAAUCAAACACCCCUUUAAACCAUGUGCUCUGAUACCAAUUGUUGGGGUUUCCGGCACCCCCAUGCGCGGACCGGGGGUGUACUGAUAGUUGCUCAAAUGGAGGGCUAAGCACACUGACACAAUAUUUUACGUGGUUCGGCAAAACCGCCUACAUCCACGGGAGAGUCCAUAUUAUUAGAGAUAUAUAAAGAAAGGAUUACAACACAUAUGGAGGAGGAGGAUCACUUCACUCAAACUCAACUCCCAUUGCUCUCACACUGCUGCACAAGGCAGCAGGCUGCUGCCCUUGGCAGCCCCUCACUUUCUCUCUUGUUCUCUCACGUUCUCUUCUCUACACUCUCUUUUUGCUCUCAAAUAAUUACCUCUUUUAUAGGCAAAUAUGGUCAACAUUGGUGGGACAAUGAAGCCUUAAAACAUGCCACCAUUUGUGGCAUUAAUGGAGCAACCACUUUCUUAGUGGUGGGGUAUUGCCACCAAAUGGCAAUAUCCUAACAGACACUCAACCUCUUCUUUCCAUAGAUUAUAUCCAAUAGAAUCUAGAUCAUCUUCUUUCAUUUGAUUGAGAAGUAAUUGAAGUGGACCGAUCGUGUAGACACGAGGAAACAUUGAGUAAAGAGCACUCAAGACUUCUUUCUCCAAAGCAUCAAAAGUAUGGAAAAUCACUGCAGAACCUUCAGAUGCUCUCUCAGCACAUUCCAUGCAGAAGUUGAAACCAUAAUCAUCUGGAUCUGUUGUGCGAAGAAAACUUGGAAGAUCCCUCAAUCGUAUAUCUUUCAUUCCUGGAAUCCAGUCUAGUACUUGAUCCAAAUAGCCAUUUGUUAAAAAGCUCUCGUCUGCGAACGAAAAUUAAAUGCAUAUGUAGCUUACCAGUUAUGGGCUAGUAAAUUAAUGAAAACAACAGCAGAAGAAGAACGAGCGUAAAAUCAGAAGAGAAGAAAGGUUCCCUAGCUUGAAAUCAAAUUUCAGGUUACGCAGCCGAAGGUCUGCUCUGGAAUUAUAACCACGGAUCUGGUACAUGUACUAUACCAUGAUCUAGCAUAAACUACCAGGAUAUUGUACCAUUCAAAUAUAAAUUUUUAGUCCAUAUGAACUCGGUUCAUGUACUUAUCUAUUUAUUUCCACAGAUGACGGCUACGAUGAUGCUGCACAUGAACUACUAGGAUAUUUAUCUAAUACCCAAAUGAAAUAAAAGAAAAUCGUGUUGUCAUUUCAAUUCAAAUUCAUCUUGUUCUUACCUUUUAAUGGAAACAGUCCUCUUUCUUUGAGCUCUUUAUAUUGCUUAAACCCCAUGAAACUGCAAGCAGAGAUAGAAAAGAACAAGGCAACAGGAAUUCCAUGCCUCUGAGCAGCAGUGAUGGCAGCUGGCACAAAUCCAUCAGAUACAAUGCAAGUCACUUGAGGACCAUCAGAAGAUGCUGUAUCAUUGAGCUUGGCAAGCAGUUCAUUAAAUGGAGCUAGCAAGUUCUUCUUGCAAGCCUCAAAAAUUGCUUGUACAUCUUGGGUAGCUUUCUCAUCUGAAGGAGGGAGCCCAUCUGGGAUAGAUUCGAACCGAAAGUCGGGCAAGCCAUUCAGGGAAUCAGGACCUCUAGAUUUAAGCAACCGUCUGUGGUUGAACUCUGUGUUCACAAAGGUUAUGCGAAAACCUCGGUAAUGCAGUAGUUUUGCUAGUUUAAGCAUUGCCUUUACAUGGCUUUGAGCUGGACAGGGAAUACAGAUUACAUGAGGCUUGUCAGCUAAGAUUUUGCGAAACAUGUCUCUAGCUCUUUCCUUCUUUCUCUAACUCUUUCUUUAGAGUAAUUGUUUUGCUACUGUCGUCUGUCAAAGUGAAGCUCACACUUUACACAGGGUACAUUUUCUUAUCAACAAGACUAUAUAAAAUAGCAGCCCUAUAGAGGUACAGUAUGGAUUUAUCUUCUCUUUUAAUUUUAAUGUAAUUAAAUCAUUAUUCUAGACUGAUGCGGGCCAUGGAAAUUAUUGGCCUAUAUAUCAGUACUUUGAUAACGGGAAAAAUUUUGUGGUUGUCUAUGAAUGUCAGGCUGCCGUCUGUCUAAAGUGUUUACUAUACAAAUGGAGCGGUAAUCAUACAGAUUGGAGUGAGUGAGAUGUGAGGAGGAUAUGCCUUCACAAACUUGAGAAGGAGUUGUUAUUCAAGAAAGACCUGCCAUCAUUUUCUUUUGAUGUAGAAUUUUUAAUUUAUCAAAAUUAAACCCAAAUUCAUUGAACCAUUUGGACGUAAAUAUGAUGUUUUGUCCUUCGGGAAAAUUAAGACUAAGCAAUCAUUAGUUCAAUACAUACAUAUACAGACAGGCACACACUUCUCUGUCAGAGAGUUAAGCACAUGAAAAAAUAUGUUAGUGCAAUAAAAAUAUAUACAUAUAAGGCAUGUUGUAUAUUUGCAUACACGAUCUUUAUCACAAAUCGUGGUCCUUGGUACACACAAUGAAAGGCGUGGUGUAUUCUUUAUCUAUUUUACCCAUAUUUUGUAUUUCAGUUUAAUUUUUAUCUUCUAAUUUAAUCUUUAUUUCGAAAAUAAUAUGUAAUUGGGAUCAAAUUUAAACUUAAAAAAUUCAAUUAUACAAAAUAAAAAUUUGAUGAUUAAAUUAAAAAUUUAUAAAAAAAAUACACAGAUGAACAAGGUGAAAUAUAAGAGGAUAAACAAUAAUGAACAUAAAAAAUUGCUAAAGGAAAACCUUGACUCUUUUAGUUUUUACUAUAAUAAAAUAAAAUUAUAAUAAUUUCUCAAUCUUCAGCCAUUAAAAGAGCAGCUACACAGCCAGUUCUUGAUAUAAAUUAAAACUACGUUUUUUUAUAUAUAAAUUUCAUAAAACAUUGACUAGAUUGCUUAGGUCGCAAAUUCUCAUCAAAUCAUUCAAGUUUCAUCGAUCAACUUCUUCAACCAUUCAAAACCAAACUUAGCUAGGGCUUAACUCCAAGUUAACGGAUCAUAGAAUGAAACCACUGAGUUAAGAUUUUAUAACUAUGCUGUCUAUUAUAAAAGAAACGAAGGAGGACAGAUCAAUUUCGGGUGGGUUUGAAAAAGCGGUGCAAAUCGUGUUUUUAAAAAUUUUGAGUGUUUUUUGCUUAAAAUAAAAAAAUUAUGUUUUUAGAUUAUUUUGAUAUGACGAUGUUAAAAAUAAUUUUUUUAAAAUAAUUUUUUUAUUUUAAUACAUUUCUAAAUAAAAAUCAUUUUAAACCAUCACCACUACCAUAAUAUCGAAACAUUUUCUUUCUAAAAAUCAAGUGAAUAGAGGUUCAUGUCUAGUCAUCACACCGUAAACAUUAAGCACCCAUAGUAGACAUUUGCGAAUUUGAACUAUUAUAUAUCCUGAAGUGAGUUAAAUACAAUGUAUAUUCUUGCUCAUCUCUUCUUAUGAUGAGAAUGUUGAAGUUAAUGCUUCUUUGAUGUGGGUUUGGUGUAGUUCUUCCCUGAUGAGUUAACCACUUUCUCUACCCCGCUUAUUCCCUUUCAUCAUACCCCGAAUCUAGUCUAAAAUCCAAUCUUUCUUCUCUUAUGAUUUUUUUCUACUUUCUUGACUUUAUAAAAAAGUAUUCUCUCAAGGUUUUUUUUUUUUUCCAAGAAUCAGGGCUGUUAAUUAUUAACUUUGCAAAUAAUUACCAUUUGAGAAAGACAAGGUGAGUAUUUUUUAUAUGAGAAAGAGAGGAAAAGAUGAAUAGUAUUUUUAUAGGAUUUAUCUCUCCACCUUUCAUUUUCUCUCCAAAGACAAUUAUGAUGGCUAGGGUUUUAGAUGAAAGAGAUGGUAAAUAAUAUUUUACUGUUUGUUAGGAAUCCAAUGUUGGCCUUAUCUCCUUUUGUUUUAGAUCAUUAUCAGUAUUUAUAUGCAACUUUAUUUCUUUCUCUCAAUUGCUUGGUCCUUGGUUUUAUCUUGUUCCCUUGUUUUACACUCUGUUUUUUUUUGUAUUAUUUUUUAUAUGUAUUUUAAAAUUAUUUUGAAAAAGAUAAUAUUAACACUCAUUCAAUGAAAAAAAAAUCAAAAAUUUUAAAAUGAGUGCAUUAAUAGCUAUGCGUGUUGAAUGUAAAUUUAAAAAAUUUGAAUUUUUUUUUAAAAGACAUUGCAAAUUAUGACAACAAUGUAAAUGCAUCAAAAAUAUUUUUUUUUGAAUUUCUAUUGUUUUUUUUUACUAUAUUUAGAUUUUUUGGAAAAAUAUUUUUAAAAGAAAGUAAAAAUUAAAUUAUGACAUAUUAAAGGUUUUUUUAAUGAAAAAUAAUGGUAAUUACGAUAUCCACACAUGAACAUGGAAUUAUUAUUUUUUAUGACAAAAGCACAGCCUUCAACAACUUGUCUAAAUUCAUGAAUGAAGAACUACUUGGACCAGUGGCUUCCUCUGCUAAUAUUUUCCACUCCAUGGCUUUGUUCUUUAGUUCCCUACCUUUCACUCCUUCAAUCAACCCUCGCACAAGGAUUUCAACUUUAUCUCAAAACAUAACACUAAUUUUUAAAUCAAGAACUAGUCAUCUAGCCUAUAAUAAAAUAUUAGUUUUUAGAUUAAGAAUUGAUCAUCCAGCACAAGGCAUUAGUUUUUCAACCAAGAACUAAUCGUCCAACCCAAGAACAAAGCAUUAGUUUUUAAACCAAGAAUUAAUCCUUCAGCCUAGAACAUGGCAAGAAUCUGAUAUCAAAUAUUAAUACAAUUGAAUAAUAAGAAUCUAUUUUAGUGUUUUAACAAUUCUAAAUAGCGCAGAAUUAAUAAGGAGUCGAGCACCUACCUUACAUCUAAGCUCUAUGUGUGGAAUCUUUUCUCAAUACUCCCUCAACAAUUUAUUCUGUAAUUUUAACAGCUCAAUGUUAAAUUUCUCGUACCCUUGCACUAAUUUCAUUUUUCACAAAUAAAUCGAUACAUAAACAAUUAUUAUAUAAUACCAUUUUUUUUUUAUCUUUUUGGUUGAAAAUACCAAAAAAAGAGGAUAUGUUUUCUACUUAGAAUCCUUAAAACCCAAUUACUUAUUAAUCAUCCCAUUAUAAAAUUCAUUACAAUUAUACCCUUUUCAAAUAUCAAUUUAUUCAAACAAACUCAUCCCUCCUAUUAUCUUCAAUUGACCGGAUGUUUCAUUUUAGGGAGGUAUGUUUUUCUUUCCAAUUAACCACAAUUUCCUCUUCAAUCCAACAAUCAACUUUUCACUAUAACACUACAAACAUUAACACAAGUAAAAUUCACUUUAAUUCUAUCAAUUUCUUAAAAUCAUUAAAUUCUUAAAACAUCAAAAUUCACAUUUAUCAUGCAGAUAUAUGCAGAAAUAUGAUCAAUCAUCUAAACUAUGAUGUCCCGCAUCUUUAGUUAUACAUGAAUGAUGAAUAUAUCCAUUGAAUCCGAUCCUCUUUUUAUUCAGGCAAGUUUUAAUUCAAAUUUUCAUGCUUUACCUUUCUCUUCUGUAUUUCAUGUGAAGCUAGCUGGCACCAAUUGGUGCAGCUAAGUCAAUAAAAUGGGCACCAAUUCGGUGCCACUUGCCUUGCUCUUGUCUUUUGCAAGACAAAGGCAAGGAUGCUUGCCUAUAAAUAGGCAGCACAUCCUUGCCAUAUAUAUCACACCAAAAGAGAGAAACAAGAGAGCAAGAAGAGAGAGUGAAGGAGAGUAAUCCCACAAAGUUGUGAGGUAUUUGUGAGAUAGUAAGUUAGGUGUUUUCUCCUAGUAAUAGAGAGAUUUCAGUUGUUCUCCUAUUAGUAGAGAGAGGUUGUAAUUCCCACAUUACUUAGUAAAAUCCUUCUAUACUUGCCCGUGGACGUAGCCAAAUUGGAUGAAUCACGUAAAUUCUUGUGUGUCUAAUUUCUCAUUUUAUCCUAUUCUUUGCCUUUUAUCUUGUCGGGUUUGCAUGCCAGUAUCCUAACAGUGGUAUCAGAGCCUUCUAGUUGGUGUUGUUAAUACACAAAAGUUAUUCGUGUAUACGGUUACUAUUAACGUCUACGACACUAUUCACCUAUACGACACUAUUCAUCCAUACGGUACUGUUCACAUACGUUACAUAUUUGUGAAACAGUGAUAGCUGAAUAGAUCACGGUGAAUAAAAUGGCAGCAAAGUAUGAGAUUGAGAGGUUCAAUGAGAGCAAUUUCUCACUCUAGAAAAUGAGAGUCAAGGCAAUCUUAAGGAAAGACAAUCGCUUAACAGCAAUUGGGGAUCAGCCCGCAGAGAUCACUGAUAAUGCAAAAUGGAAUGAGAUGGAUGACAAUGCUAUUGCUAACAUACAUUUAGCAUUAGUCGAUGAAGUAUUAUCAAGUGUGGCGGAGAAGAAAACAACUAAGGAGAUAUGAGAGACUCUAACAAAGCUAUAUGAGUCCAAGUCCUUGCACAAUAAGAUUUUCUUAAAGCAGAGACUUUAUACCCUUCGAAUGGCAGAAACCACGACGGUGACUGACCACAUCAACACAAUAAGAACUCUAUUUUCACAACUCACUAUGUUGGGUCAACAAAUAGAGGAAAGUGAACGUGCAGAGCUUCUACUUCAAAGUCUUCCAGAUUCGUAUGAUCAACUCAUUAUCAACUUGACCAAUAAUAUCCUCACAGACUAUUUAGUCUUUGAUGAUGUUGCAGCCGCCAUCUUGGAAAAAGAAAAUAGGCGCAAAAAUAAAGGAAACAAAAAUAGUUCAAACCAAACAGAGGUAUUAUUGGUGUCAAGAGGGAGAUCAACGGAGCGUAGCUCCAGUGGGAGUCAAAGGCAAGGGAGGUCCAAAUCAAGAAGUAAGAAGACUGUGAAAUGCUACAACUGUGGCAGAAAAGGGCACUUCAAAAAGGAUUGUUGGUUUAAAAAGGGUAUAGAGAACACUGCAGAGUCAUCAAAACCUCAAGGAUGUGUUGCAAGCACCUCAGAAGAUGGAGAGGUUUUAUAUAGUGAAGCAGCGACAGUCUCUACAGAUAGAAAAGAGCUCACUGAGGUUUGGUUAAUGGAUUCAAGAGCAACAUGGCAUAUGACUCCUAAUCGAGAUUGGUUUCAUACAUACGAACCCAUCUUUGAAGGCUCAGUGUUCAUGGGUAAUGAUCAUGCUUUAGAGAUUGCUGGCAUUGGCACCAUCAAAUUAAAGAUGUAUGAUGGUUCAAUUCACACUAUUUCAGGAGUGCGACAUGUGAAAGACUUAAAGAAAAAUCUUUUGUCCGUAUGACAAUUUGAUAGUCUUGGCUGUAAGAUUCGAACAGACAAUGGAAUCAUGAAAAUUAUCAAAGGAGCGCUGGUGGUUUUAAAGGCAAGAAAGACAGUUGCAAAUAUGUUUGUAUUAAUGGGAGAAACACAUCAUGAGGCAGAAGCGUCAAUUGCAUCAGCCAGUCCAGCAGAAGAGAAGACGAUGAUGUGGCAUCAAAAACUAGGCCACAUGUCAGAGAAAGGUUUGAAAGUUCUCUCUGAUAAGAAGUUACUCCCUGGGCUUACAAAGGUUACUUUACCCUUUUGUGAGCAUUAUGUUACAAGUAAACAUCACAGGUUGAAGUUUGGCACAUCAACAACUAAGAGCAAAUGCAUCUUAGACCUGAUUCACUCUGAUGUUUGGUAAGCAUCGGUUGUAUCCUUGGGAGGAGCAAGAUACUUUGUAUUAUUUAUAGAUGACUUCUCCAGGAGAUGUUGGGUGUAUCCAAUUAGAAGGAAGGCAGAUGUGCUCGCAGUCUUUAAAACUUUCAAAGCGCCGAUAGAACUUGAAUCUGAAAAGAAGAUCAAGUGUUUGAGGACUGACAAUGAAGGAGAAUAUACCAGUGAUGAAUUUGAUAACUUCUUUCAACAUGAAGGUAUCAAAAGGCAGUUCAUAACGGCAUAUACUCCACAACAAAAUGGAGUGACAGAGCGAAUGAACAGAACUCUGUUGGAAAGAACAAGAGCAAUGUUGAAGGCUGCAAGUCUAGGAAAGCCAUUCUGGAUAGAAGCAGUCAAUACCGCCUGUUAUGUGAUAAAUCGAUCUCCAUCAACUGCAAUUGAGCUGAAGACACCGAUGGAGAUAUGGACUGGAAAACCAGCUGAUUAUUCUCGAUUGCAUAUAUUUGGUAGUCCCGUGUAUGUGAUGUAUAUUACUCAAGAAGUUAGCAAGCUGGAUUCAAAAUCCAGAAAAUAUGUAUUCUUGGGAUAUGCUGAUGGAGUGAAGGGGUAUCGCUUGUGGAAUCCCACUGCCCACAAGGUAGUCAUCAGCAGAGAUGUUAUAUUUGCAGAAGGUAAAAUGCAAAUGGAAGAACAUAAUAGCAUUCUAAAGGAGACUAAAGCAGUCCAGAUGGAAAAUACUCAGAAUCAUACUUCUUCUGAAGCUGCACCAGAGCAUGAAAAACAAGAACAAAUAGAGUCUGAAACUCCUGAAGUUCGACGGUCGACUCGUGAAAGAAGACCACCGGCUUGGCACUCAGAAUGUGUUACUAAGAGCAAUAUUGCAUACUGUCUUCUAACAGAGGAUGGAGAGCCAUCAUCUUUCUAUGAGGCUAUCAAAAGCAUAGAUGUAUCUAUGUGGAUGACAGUAAUGCAAGAGGAGAUUGAAGCUCUGCACAAGAAUAACACUUGGGAUCUUGUUCCGCUACCACAAAGAAGAAAGGCCAUUGGCAACAAAUGGGUUUACAAGAUAAAGCGUGAUGGCAAUGAUCAAGUGGAGCGGUAUCAUGCAAGAUUGGUGGUGAAAGGAUAUGCUCAGAAAGAAAGAAUAGACUUCAAUGAGAUAUUUUCUCCGGUCGUACGACUUACUACAAUCAGAGUAGUCUUGGCAAUGUGUGCUAUAUUUGAUCUUCACUUAGAGCAGUUAGAUGUGAAAACUGCAUUUCUUCAUGGAGAACUUGAAGAAGAAAUUUAUAUGCUCAAACCAGAGGGUUUUGCUGAAACAGACAAGGAGAACUUGGUUUGCAGGUUGAACAAAUCUCUAUACAGUCUCAAACAGGCGCCGAGGUAUUGGUACAAGAGAUUUGAUUCCUUCAUAAUUAGCCUUGGGUACAACAGACUCAGUUCAAACCAUUGUACGUAUUACAAGAGGUUUGAAGAGAAUGAUGUUUUCAUCAUUAUAUUGUUGUACGUGGAUGACAUAUUGGUAAUAGGCCCCAACAAAGAUCGAGUCCAAGAAUUAAAGGCACAGUUGGCUAGGGAGUUUGAUAUGAAGGACUUGGGACCAACAAACAAGAUUCUAGGGAUGCAAAUUCACCGAGACAGAAGUAAAAGAAAGAUUUGGCUUUCUGAGAAGAAUUAUUUGAAGAAGAUCUUGAGACGCUUCAACAUGCAAGAUUGUAAGCCAAUUUCCACCCCACUUCCAGUUAACUUCAAAUUAUCCUCAAGUAUGUCUCCUAGCAAUGAAGCAGAGAGGAUGGAGAUGUCUCGAGUAACCGUACGCAUCAGUAGUGGGAAGUUUAAUGUUUGCCAUGAUAUGUACAAGACCAGACAUUGCACAAGCAGUGGGAGCAGCUAGUCGAUACAUGGCAAAUCCUGGUAGAGAGCAUUGAAAUACUAUUAAGAGGAUCUUGAGAUACAUCAAGGGCACCUCAAAUGCUGCAUUAUGUUAUGGAGGAUCGGAAUUUACCGUAAGAGGUUAUGUUGAUUCAGAUUUUGCUGGCGACCUUGAGAAAAGAAAAUCCACUACAAGCUAUGUGUUCAUAAUUGCAGGAGGAUCUGUGAGCUGGGUCUCUAAACUUCAGACUGUUGUAGCUUUAUCCAUAAUAGAAGCUGAGUACAUGGCAGCUACACAAGCUUGUAAAGAAGCAAUAUGGAUGAAGAAACUUAUGGAGGAGCUCGGGCACAAACAAGAGAAGAUUCCUUUGUAUUGUGAUAGUCAGAGUUGACAAGAUAAUACAAGAGAAAUUCUGAAAUGUUUUUUGUAUUUUUCACUAAGAGAGUUACAAUAUAUAUAUACAUCAAGAAGUAUCAAAUCCCUUAAUUCUAGGAUCUAAUCAUCAUAAUCAGAUCCUUUUAGUCCUAGGCCUAGACAAUAAUUGAGGUUUUUAGAGAGAAUCAAGGGAUAUACAGCUAUGACAGAAAUUGAAUAAGAAAAGAAGAAUAUACUGACAGCUACAAAAGAAAAGAAGAAUAUACUAACAGCUACAAAAGAAAGACUGACAGCUAUUAAAGAAAUGCAAGAAGGAAAGGAGAUAUUGACAUCCCCCCUCAAAUUGAUGCGGGUAGGUCUAACAACAUCAAUUUGCUGCUGAGAAACUGAUGGCGUUGGCGUGUUAAGGCUUUUAUAAAGGCAUCAGCUAUUUGAAGAGCAGUAUUGAGAUGAGAAAGAGUGAUAACACCCCGAGUAAAAGCCUCCCUAAUAUAAUGACAGUCCACCUCUAUGUGCUUAGUGCGUUCAUGGUAGACCGAAUUCGCAGCUAUUUGAAUAGCACUAGUAUUAUCACCAUGAAGAGGAGUAGGAGCAGUUGGGGGGAACCCAAGUUCAGAAAGAAGACCACGUAACCACACAAUUUCAGAACAAGCUGCAGACAUGGCGCGAUACUCGGCUUCUGUAGAAGAUUUAGAGACACAAUCCUGCUUCUUACACUUCUAAAAAAUCAAGGCAUCGCCAAGAAAAAUGCACCACCCUGUGAUAGACUUCCGAGUAUCCGGGCAGCCAGCCCAAUCUGCAUCACUAUAGGAAGUCAAGGUAAGAGGAGAAUGUUUAGGAAAAAACAACCCACGAGUAGGGGACCCAAUUAAGUAUCGAAUAAGACGACGAACGGCAGCAAGAUGAAGAUGGCGAGGUGCCUGCAUAAAUUUGCUAACGAUAUGGACAACAUAGGAGAUAUCAGGCCGUGUAAUGGUUAGGUAGAUAAGACUACCAACAAGUUGCCUAUAUAAAAAAAGGAUCAGGCAAAAAGUCGCCUUCAUCUUUUCGGUAUUUCACAUUCACCUCCAUUGGUGUAUCAACAGCAGUAGCAUCCUUUAAACCAGCUAACUCAAUGAGAUCCUGAAUAUAUUUAUGUUGAUUUAAGAACAAACCAUGAUCUCUAGAGUGAACUUCCAGCCCCAAAAAAUAUGUGAGAUGUCCAAGAUCUUUCAUUUGAAAUGUACUAUGCAACAUAUGUUGAAGCUUGGUGAUCAACCCAAUGUCAUUACCAGUGAGGAUAAUAUCAUCAACAUAGACUAAGAGAAAUACCAUACGAGUGGUGGUCUUGUAAAAGAAAAGUGAUGAAUCAUAUUGACUUUGUGUGAAGGAGAAGGUGAGUAGAGUGUUGCGAAACUUCUCAAACCAAGCUCUAGGUGCCUGUUUCAACCCAUACAAAGAGCGUCUUAGUUUGCAAACUUCAUCAGAAGCCGUUGUGGACAUACCAGGUGGAAGUUUCAUGUAAAUCUCUUUCUUAAGAUCCCCAUGCAAGAAGGUAUUUUUUACAUUCAUCUGAUGUAAAGGCUAAGCUUUAGAGGCUGCAAUAGCAAGAAUUGUUCUCACCGUGGUCAUCUUAGCAACUAGUGCGAAUGUUUCUUCAUAGUCGAAGCCAUAUUCUUGUUUAUUACCAAGAGCAACCAAUCGAGCUUUGUAUCUAUCUAAAAAGCCAUUAGACUUGAGUUUCACAGUAUAGACCCAUUUACUACCAAUGGGCUUAACAUAUGGAGGACAAGAAAUAAUGUCCCAAGUAUGAUUUGCCUCAAGUGCUUGAAGUUCUGCCUCUAUUGCUUGUUGCCAGCAUUCAUGUUCUCUAGCCUGUUUAUAACAAGUGGGAAUGGAAACAAAACACAGAGUAGUAGACAUAGCCACAGGAGUUGAAAAACCAUAUCUUUCAGGAGGUUUGUGAGGUCUAGAGCUUUUAUGAAGAAGAAGUGGAUCAUAGGAAGUGGGUAGAACAGAAUCAGAUGCCACAAGAAGAUGUGAAGGAAACCUAGUGAGACCUGUAGAAGGAUCAGAAAGCAGAGUGCGUCUAUGNNNNNNNNNNNNNNNNNNNNNNNNNNNNNNNNNNNNNNNNNNNNNNNNNNNNNNNNNNNNNNNNNNNNNNNNNNNNNNNNNNNNNNNNNNNNNNNNNNNNNNNNNNNNNNNNNNNNNNNNNNNNNNNNNNNNNNNNNNNNNNNNNNNNNNNNNNNNNNNNNNNNNNNNNNNNNNNNNNNNNNNNNNNNNNNNNNNNNNNNNNNNNNNNNNNNNNNNNNNNNNNNNNNNNNNNNNNNNNNNNNNNNNNNNNNNNNNNNNNNNNNNNNNNNNNNNNNNNNNNNNNNNNNNNNNNNNNNNNNNNNNNNNNNNNNNNNNNNNNNNNNNNNNNNNNNNNNNNNNNNNNNNNNNNNNNNNNNNNNNNNNNNNNNNNNNNNNNNNNNNAACAAUACACAAAGCUUCAUGAUAUAUGAGGCUUCUGUGAGCUAUCAAGGAGAAGGGUUCGAACAACAUCAAGAAGAUGACGAUUCUUUCUUUCAGCCACACCAUUUUGUUGUGGGGUGAAAGGACAAGAACGUUGUGAUAUGAUCCCAUGACUUUGAAGAAAAAAUUGAAAUUCAUUUGACAUAUAUUCACCACCUGAAUCAGAUUGCAGAAUUUUGAUUUUGGCAGAAAAUUGUGUCUCAACUAAGGCAAGAAGGGCUUUAAACACAGAGAAGACCUCACUUUUAGAUCGAAGAAAAUAUACCCAAGUAAAACGAGUGAAAUCAUCUAUAAAUGUAACAAAGUAUCUGUAAUGUUCAUGAGAAAUGACAGGUGCAAUACCCCAUACAUCAGUAUGCACGAUUUCAAAAGGUUUCGUGGUGCGGGUUUUAUGCAAUGGAAAAGGAAGUGUUUUGCUUUUACCAAGUUUGCAAGAUGCACAAUCAACAAUAUCAUUAUUAGAAGAAGUCGAAUUUUUAUUUCCUAGUAAACCAGAUUUAAACAAGACUCGAAGUACAUGAGAAUUAGGAUGUCCUAAACGUCUAUGCCACACCUGAUUAUCACAUUGAACAUCAUUACAUGCAACAUAAUUUGACAUAGGAGAGGGAGAUAGAAGCAAGGGAAAUAGGCGUCCCACUUUAGGUCCCUUCGCGAUCAUCUUCCCGGACACUUGAUCCUGCACAAAACAACCAGAUUUGGAAAAAUGAACAUCACAAUUGUUGUCAACUAAUUGGCCAAUAGAUAUAAGAUUAGUGGACAGCUUAGGAGACACAAAGACAGUAUUCAGAAGGGCUGAAAUAUCACCAACAGCUAUGAUAGACAAGGGAUUACCAUCGGCAGUACGAAUAUGAAGAUUGCCUUUAUAUUUUUGAACAUUAUUUAAAGGUAAGGCAGUGUUGGUCAUGUGAUUGGAAGCAGCAGAAUCAAAAUACCAAGGCUUAGGAAUAGAAUUUCGGUUACCUGAAAUGCCUAAAGCAGAAAGGGCAGAAACUAUCAUUUGUUGGACCAUUUCAGGGGUAAUAGAGGACUGACCAGGACUAGGAGUAUUUGAGGAACCAACCGAGACAUUAUAGGCAGUUUCAGAUUUCUUUGGAGGCCGGAUGGAGCAGUCUUUGAUGAUAUGCCCUGUUUUCUUACAAUAGUUGCAGAAUUUUUUAGUACAAGUAGUGGCAAUGUGCCCAAAUCCUUUGCAGCUAUAGCACUGGACAUUUGACAUAUUUCUACCUCCUUUAGACCUCCCUUGAGCAGUGUAUGCAACAGGAAUUGGAGUAGAAGUUUGAGCUUUCUGUUCCAAAACAGCUUGUGUAAUGAUCCGUUGUUCUUCCCUGAGAAGUUCUCCUACACAAAUAUCCAAGAAAGGAACUGGUUGUCUAUUCAUUAGGUUGGACCUGAUUGCUUCAAAUUCCCCCCUUAACUUCAUUAAAAACUGAUCACGUUUGCUGGUCUCAUGCACACUUUGAAUAACAAUAAGUCCUUCAGGAGGUACACUUGCAUACACAAUAUCUGUGUACUCAGCCUAAAGAUUUACAAAGGAAGAGUAAAACUCUUGUAUUGACAUACUGCCUUGACUGAGUUGACCCAACUCGAGUUCCAAUUGGAAUCUUCGUGCUGUAUUGCUUUGGUUGUAAACUUUCUUCAGGUAAUCCCACAUCUCUCUAGAGGAUUUGUAAGGCUUGAGAUUGAGAAGCAUGAAGUGUUCCAUACUUCCAAGGAUCCAAGACAUAAUCUGAGCAUCCCUCACCUCCCAUUUCACAUAUUUCUCUUUCUCCUCCUCACUGUCAGGUGCAGGAACUGUCCCAACAAUAUGACCCCAUAAUUCCUUUCCCUUGACAAAAAUCUGAAACUGGAAAGCCCAGGCAGAAUAGUUCUUUCCAGUAAAUCGAACAAGAAAAUGUUCAGAUCGUUCCAGAGACAUGAUUUAACUAGAAACAAGAACCAAGAGAUCAAGUCUAAGAAAAACAGAAUAGAAGAACCAGACAAGGAACUAGAUACAAGAUGAAUUGAUUUCAGAGUUUUGGCUCUGAUACCAUGACAAGAUAAUACAAGAGAAAUUCUGAAAUGUUUUCUGUAUUUUUCACUAAGAGAGUUACAAUAUAUAUAUAUACAUCAAGAAGUAUCAAAUCCCUUAAUUCUAGGAUCUAAUCAUCAUAAUCAGAUCCUUUUAGUCCUAGGUCUAGAUAAUAAUUGAGGUUUUUAGAGAGAAUCAAGGGAUAUACAGCUAUGACAGAAAUUGAAUAAGAAAAGAAGAAUAUACUGACAGCUACAAAAGAAAAGAAGAAUAUACUAACAGCUACAAAAGAAAGACUGACAGCUAUUAAAGAAAUGCAAGAAGGAAAGGAGAUAUUGACAAGAGUGCCCUGCAUAUUGCAAGGAAUCCCGUGUUUCAUUCAAGAACAAAACACAUAGAUGUUCAGUAUCAUUUUGUUCGCGAAGUGGUGGAAGAUGGAAGUGUAGAUUUUCAGAAGGUUAACACAAAGGAAAACCUAGCAGAUGCUUUAACCAAACCAGUCAACAUUGACAAGUAUAUAUGGUGCAGAUCCUCUUAUGGCCUAGUAGAAACGUAAGCAGCAUGAAGAUGGCAAGUAUAGAAAGGAUAGAAGAAUCACAAAUGAUCAAGUGUGAAGACUUGAUUAAAUCAUCAAAGUCUUCAAGUGGGACAAUGUGAAGCUAGCUGGCACCAAUUGGUGCAUCUAAGUCAACAAAAUGGGCACCAAUUCGGUGCCACUUGCAGCACCAAUUGGUGCCACUUGCCUUGCUCUUGUCUUUUGCAAGACAAAGGCAAGGAUGCUUGCCUAUAAAUAGGCAGUGCAUCCUUGCCAUAUAUAUCACACCAAAAGAGAGAAAUAAGAGAGCAAGAAGAGAGAGUGAAGGAGAGUAAUCUCACAAAGUUGUGAGGUAUUUGUGAGAUAGUAAGUGAUGUGUUUUCUCCUAGUAAUAGAGAGAUUUCAAUUGUUCUCCUAUUAGUAUAGAGAGGUUGUAAUUCCCACAUUACUUAGUAAAAUCCUUCUAUACUUGCCCGUGGACGUAGCCAAAUUGGGUGAACCACGCAAAUUCUUGUGUGUCUAAUUUCUUAUUUUAUCAUAUUCUUUGCCUUUUAUCUUGUCGGGUUUGCAUGUCAGUAUCCUAACAUUUCAGACUAUAUGUUUCUUCUUUUUUUGGCUAGUUCGCCAUCAACUUGUCGGUACCAGCUAUUUUAAUAUAUCCUAUCUUGCAAACUUGUCUAAAUUCAUGAAUGAUGAGCCUAUUCGACCUGUGGCCUCCCGUGCUAAUGUUUUUCCAAUCCAUGGCUUGGCUCUUUAUUUUCUUACCUUUUCUUUCUUUGCUUCCAUCAACUCUCUCGCAAGUGUGUCCACAUUUUCUCUCUUGACAUUGCUGUAAAUCUUCAUUCCAAUUCCCCACCUCGCAUGUGUUUGUUUGUUGAUCACCGAAGGAUGGCCAACAAAGCCUAGGCACGCCAGAAGAAAUGCUCUCAAUUGUUGAACCCCGUCAACCAUGUGUUACAGAACCUCCAAUCUGUUGAUGUUUAAGAACAACUUCUUGUGGACACCAACUAGAUAUAAAGCCCUUCUCUUUAGUUUCUUCAGUGAAUUAUGGUGGCAAUAUUGAGGAGUCGUCAUUGAUCAUCAUGUCAGACCUUAUUAUAUAUCCAUAGAAAUGGGUGACCACUUUUAUCAAUUCCCAUUCCAAAUUCAAUGAGCGGCUGCUUUGUAGCGUCCGCUAAGCUGCCAAAAUUCACAUAAAUUACUGAGUUGGGCGUCUUGGAGUCCAGCCAUUAAUUGGAGGCACUCGGCUUCUUCUUUCCAUAGAUUACAUCCAAUUGAAUUCAAAUCAUCUUCUUGCAUUUCAUUGAGAAGUAAUUGAAGUGAACCCAUCUUGUAGGCAUGAGGAAACAUAGAGUGAAGGACUUCUCUUGCUCCGAAGCAUCAAAAGUAAGGAAAAUCCCUUCAGAAGCUCUCUCUGCACAUUACAAGCACAAGUUAAACAAGCAAUCAUUUUGGAUCUGUUGCAAGAACAAAACUUGGAAGAUCCCUUAGGAAUAUUACAUUCGAGGUGUUGUUUGAUAAUACUGUUUAAAUACAAUACACUAUCAACUUGGAACUUGAUUGAGGUGUGAAAUUACAAAUAACAAAACUUUAUAAAAAAAUUAAACAAAAAAACUAAGAAAUUUUAAGAAUAAAAAUUAAAUUGAAAACAUCAAUAUAUAAUAAAAAAUUAAACAUGUUUUUUAACGUGUUUUUUUACAUUAAAAAAAUAAUAAAUAUAAAUAAAAAAAAUUAUGCACGCAUCAAAUCAAAUAAAUCAUGAACCAUUUUAUAAAUAAAUUACACAAAAAAAUCAUUAACAAUAAAUAAAAACAUAAUUUGACUUUCAAUUCCAUUCCAAAGAGGAGAAAUUUAAAAUAAUACAUUAUUUGUGUCAAGAGUUUUCAUCUGUUUGGGGGGCUGCACAACGGCAAGUCCAACCAUGUUCAUCAUUCUAACUUCAAACCUGCCAAUAUGUAGACUGCUAAGCCGGCUAAGUAUAAAUCUAACUUAGUAUAAAUCAAAGUGAUUCGCUAUAGAAUGUGAGAAAAGACAUCCUCUUAUUUUUCUAUCAGCCACGUGAUUAGCUUCCUGCAAGAUAUGUGAGAAAAGUCUCACAACCCAUGCGAGGGGAGAAACGAGCAAGGAUGAAGAUCUCAACAGUACUUCAAUUCAAUUGCAUUGUGUGUUAGUUUCUCUUCUAUUAUGAAUUUCUACAGGGAAUGCUCUAGGCCUUGGAAUUUAUAUUUUUUUCAUGGCAAAAGCACUGCCUUCACCAACUCGUCUAAAUUCAUGGAUGACGAGCCACUUGGACCAGCGGCUUCCUCUGCUAAUUUUCUCCACUCCAUGACUUUUUUCUUUACCUCCCUGCCUUUCUCUCCUUCCAUCAACUCUCGCACAAGCUUCUCCACUUUAUCUCUUUCCGCAUUGCUAUCAAUCUCCAUUCCAAUGCCCCACUCAUUGCAAGUGUACCUACAGUUUGUUUGUUGAUCACCAAAGAACGGCAAACAAAGCAUGGGCACCCCAGAAGAAAUGCUCUCAGCUGUUGAAUUCCAUCCACUAUGUGUUAGGAAACCUCCUAUUGAUGGGUGGUUGAGAACUUCCUCUUGUGGACACCAGCUAGAAAUAAAUCCUCUGUCUUUAGUCUCGUCAGUAAAUUCUGGUGGCAAUAUGGCGGAGUCGCCUAUGACCAUGUCAGGCCUUAAUAUCCAUAAAAAUGGGUGACCACUUUUUGCAAGUCCCAUUCCCAAUUCAAUCAGCUGCUGCUUUGUAGCGACGGCUAUGCUACCAAAGUUCACAUAAAUUACUGAGUUUGGUUUCUUGGAAUCAAGCCAUUGGAGACACUCAACCUCUUCUUUCCAUAGAUUAUAUCCAAUAGAAUCUAGAUCAUCUUCUUUCAUUUGAUUGAGAAGUAAUUGAAGUGGACCGAUCGUGUAGACACGAGGAAACAUUGAGUAAAGAGCACUCAAGACUUCUUUCUCCAAAGCAUCAAAAGUAUGGAAAAUCACUGCAGAACCUUCAGAUGCUCUCUCAGCACAUUCCAUGCAGAAGUUGAAACCAUAAUCAUCUGGAUCUGUUGUGCGAAGAAAACUUGGAAGAUCCCUCAAUCGUAUAUCUUUCAUUCCUGGAAUCCAGUCUAGUACUUGAUCCAAAUAGCCAUUUGUUAAAAAGCUCUCGUCUGCGAACAAAAAUUAAAUGCAUAUGUAGCUUACCAGUUAUGGGCUAGUAAAUUAAUGAAAACAACAGCAGAAGAAGAACGAGCGUAAAAUCAGAAGAGAAGAAAGGUUCCCUAGCUUGAAAUCAAAUUUCAGGUUACGCAGCCGAAGGUCUGCUCUGGAAUUAUAACCACGGAUCUGGUACAUGUACUAUACCAUGAUCUAGCAUAAACUACCAGGAUAUUGUACCAUUCAAAUAUAAAUUUUUAGUCCAUAUGAACUCGGUUCAUGUACUUAUCUAUUUAUUUCCACAGAUGACGGCUACGAUGAUGCUGCACAUGAACUACUAGGAUAUUUAUCUAAUACCCAAAUGAAAUAAAAGAAAAUCGUAAUGAAGUUGUCAUUUCAAUUCCAAUUCUUGUACUUACCUUUUAAUGGAAACAGUCCUCUUUCUUUGAGCUCUUUAUAUUGCUUAAGCCCCAUGAAAGUGCAAGCAGAGAUAGAAACGAACAAGGCAACAGGAAUUCCAUGCCUCUGAGCAGCAGUGAUGGCAGCUGGCACAAAUCCAUCAGAUACAAUGCAAGUCACUUGAGGAACAUCAGAAGAUGCUGUAUCAUUGAGCUUGGCAAGCAGUUCAUUAAAUGGAGCUAGCAAGUUCUUCUUGCAAGCCUCAAAAAUUGCUUGUACAUCUUGGGUAGCUUUCUCAUCUGAAGGAGGGAGGCCAUCUGGGAUAGAUUCGAACCGAAAGUCGGGUAAGCCAUUCAGGGAAUCAGGACCUCUAGAUUUAAGCAACCGUCUGUGGUUGAACUCUGUGUUCACAAAGGUUAUGCGAAAACCUCGGUAAUGCAGUAGUUUUGCUAGUUUAAGCAUUGCCUUUACAUGGCUUUGAGCUGGACAGGGAAUACAGAUUACAUGAGGCUUGU